RNAcentral lists this long non-coding RNA (1228 nucleotides) under Olea europaea (common olive). RNAcentral's name for it is "long non-coding RNA (OEUR_LNC011254)". The record is from RNAcentral. Lineage: Eukaryota; Viridiplantae; Streptophyta; Magnoliopsida; Lamiales; Oleaceae.
UACCUUACCAUGCAUUGCAGGGAUAGUUGAUGGUGUAGCGGCACCCCAGUAAUCCAUGCCGAUAUUUAAGUUAGUGGUGUGAGGAACACCACUCACAACCCCAGCUGUUGCCAUUGGCAUGAUAGAACGAGUUCGAUUCACUUCUGAAUUAGGUGUAUUUGGUCCUCCAUUCUGGGAACCAUGACCAGCAUUUCCAUUCAGAGAUGUUUCAGCUGUAGAAGAGUUAUAAAGUAAGGUUUGUAAUCAGAACUUAUGAAAAAGGUAGCGACAGCAAUCGAAGUACAAAUUCCUAGAACCUCACCAGAAUCUUGCAGGCCUCCGGACUUCAUUUGAAUACAGAAAAAAGCCUAUACUCUCGAGAUAAGUAGCUUCUAAACUACCUAAUUACCAACCAAAAAUACAUGAUAAACCAAAUCAAUUCGCUUUACCCUCGAGAUAAGUAGCUUCUAAACAACCUAAUAACCAACCAAAAAUACAUGAUAAACCAAAUCAAUUCGCUUCCUCAAGAAAAAUAGACAAUGGGUUUUAGCUGGCAACUUUUUUGCAUCAUGCAUCAACUACCAAUUGGUGAAAAUUGAGUAAAUCUUUAACUCUAAAAUAUAUCACAGAAAAUCACAAUUUGUUUCAAAUGUUUACAUCCACUCAACCUCAGUAUUUAGCAUGCUGAUAGACCAAAUAUCAGUAAAAGCCAUGAAACAAGACUAGACACAAAGAUCUGAAGCCUAACAGCAAAUCAAUUAGAUCACAAGCCCAUGACCCACGUCAUCUCAAUCUAAAAACCAGAAAAACAAGGAAAUGCAAUUCAGUAAAUGGUAAAGAAGGAGAAAGGAAGACCUGUAUCCAAAGCUGUGACUGAACAUUUUCCCGUGAUCCAGUAGUGACCAUUCCUCCAGCACCAAGAGAGGGUACCUUACCAUGCAUUGCAGGGAUAGUUGAUGGUGUAGCGGCACCCCAGUAAUCCAUGCCGAUAUUUAAGUUAGUGGUGUGAGGAAUACCACUCACAACCCCAGCUGUUGCCAUUGGCAUGAUAGAACGAGUUCGAUUCACUUCUGAAUUAGGUGUAUUUGGUCCUCCAUUCUGGGAACCAUGACCAGCAUUUCCAUUCAGAGAUGUUUCAGCUGUAGAAGAGUUAUAAAGUAAGGUUUGUAAUCAGAACUUAUGAAAAAGGUAGCGACAGCAAUCGAAGUACAAAUUCCUAGAACCUCACCAGAAUCUUGCAGGCCUCCGG